UUUGCUUAUUUUGCAGCUAGUGCUUUUGUCUUUAGUUCUCAAACAUUUUUGUGGGGUGAUGAAAAGCCUCUAGGCUCUGAGCCCUGAGCUCCCCCUGCCAAAGGUUAAGAAGACUGCACCAGAGCUGGCCACUGUUGGGUGUAGCAAAUUAGGUGUUUACUGACCUGUCUCCUCUGGGGGACUGGGGGACUUCAAGAAUCAGAGCCUGACUCUUCUCUGUGACCCUGGCAGCCAACAGCCAGCCAACGCAGAGCAGAGCUCAGGCAAUGUCCAUAGAAUGAAUAAAUUCAUGAAUUCCCCUAAAAAUCUUUCUUCUCUGUAAAUCUAAUAUAAUGCAACUCGAAUUUAUUUCUGUAUCUGUCAAUUGUGUGGCACCCCUCUAUAAAAUAUUUCCAUAAUCUAUGUCCGUUCUCUCCAAAGAUCUCUGCUCACAUCACACUGCUUAAGUGUCAGGAGCCUACCAUGCACCUUUGUGUUACCUCUCCUGAGCCUCACGACAACUUCAUAAAGUAGAUCCUAUUAUCGUGGGGCACCUGGGUGGCUCAGUGGUUGAGCAUCUGCCUUUGGCUCAGGGCAUGAUCUUGGGGUCCUGGGAUCAAGUCCCAUGUUGGGCUCCCCAUGGGGAGCCUGCUUCUCCCUCUGCCUGUGUCUCUGCCUCUCUCUGUGUCUCUCAUGAAUAAAUAAAUAAAAUCUCAUAAAUAAAUAAAUAAAUAAAUAAAUAAAUAAAUAAAUAAGAUUCUAUUAUUGCUAUUUAACAGACACUGAAACUGAGGCUCAGGAUAGGGAACCAGACUGCAAAUAAGGGGUCGCAGUGUGAAGAAGUGAACUAAGGGUUGUCCAGUUCCCUGUCCUCCAGCCCCCCUCAAUACCACUCUCCUGCUGCCCACAGGUCCCACUGCCAGCCCUCGCUCCUCGCCUGCUCCUUGUCUAUUCCUCUGCUUCUAGGUAAGACACAGACCUCGGCUGCACCCAAACAAUCUAUCUUGUCAGCAGUGGGGCUGUCUCAACACCAUGGCUCCACUGAAUCCCAUCAAUGCUUCCUGAGCACUUACCAUGUGCCAAACACUGAGCAGAGAAGCAGAGCUAAAAUAAAGAAUGCCAAGGUCUGGGGAAUCCCUGGAUGGCUCAGUGGUUUGGUGCCUGCCUUCGGCCCAGGGCGUGGUCCUGGAGACCUGGGAUCAAAUCCCACAUCAGACUCCCUGCCCGGAGCCUGCUUCUCCUUCUGCCUGUGUUGCUGCCUCUCUCUCUCUCUUUCUCUCUCUCUCUCUCUCUGUGUGUGUGUGUGUGUGUGUGUCUCAUGAAAGAAUAAAUAAAGGAUCUUAAAAAAAAAAUAGAAUGCCAAGGUCACCUGGCUGUGAGCUCCUGAAGGCCAGGGACCAAGCCCAGAGCAGAGAGACAGUGGGCCCUCCCCAGCUCAUCCUCUACUUUGAGGAUGUUGGAGAAUGUCACUUUCAUACACCUGCCACCUCUCAAGCCAGGCAGGGAACCCCUGUGCUGCCCCAUCUCUCUCCCAUGUUGAGUCCAUUCCCCUGGGUAGGACGGCCUCUGAGCUGGGGGCACCAGCCACCCUCCACCCCUGCACAGCAUUUGUCAAAGAAGCACAGAGAUAGGCCAGACCCACCUGCCACCCUCCUUCCAGGGCCCCUCGGUCAGAGGGUCAGCAUGUUCAUGAGAGGGUCCCAAAAUGACCCUCCUUGAAAUUCCCCAAAACUACAGUGCUUUUCAGUUGGCAAAACGCUCCACCUGCUUUCCUUCAGAUGAUCCUGUCCCCAGUCCACCUACAGGUAAGGAAUCAUCCAGGUCCACUUGGCUCCUGGAGGCAGAGUUCAGGCUGGGACCCAGGAGUCCCUCAGUACCCCAGAAAGGCCCCUCUCCUUCCCAAAACUCAGCUCCCCAUCUGUGCCCUAAAGGAGUUCAGCUGGACAACCUCUACGAUCCCUUCAGGCUCCAACCUACCCUGGCGAGGGAGGCUGGCCAUGUUAGAGAAGAGGAAACUAAAGCCCUGACCAGUGGUGCAUGGUGGCUGCGCAGCGUCCUGGAACUGCACUGUCAGGGAGAAAGAUGCCGUGGAAGCAGUACUGGCACAAGGAAGGCUUGGGGGCUGGGAAGCUCACCCCACCAAAACCAGCCAGGGGAUUCCUAAAAUCCACCCAAGCAGUUACAGGCUGCCAGGCUCAGAUUCAGACAGCCAAAUGGUACGCACGGUAUGCCUCUCAGCCCAGGGCUAGUGGAAGGGCCCAGACUUCCAGUAAUGAUGAUCAACACAGUAACUGUAGCAGCACACCCGGCGAUCUACUGCGGCGUCGGCCACUCUCUGCCCAUUCCCUUCUCUCCCCCACAAAGCUACCAGGUAAGUGGUAAUGACCCCAUUUUACAGAUGGGAACCCCUGGCUCUUGUUCUGCCCUAGGUCCCACAGGCAGGAUAAGGGCACCUUGCUCUGACCACCCCAAAGCCCUCACCCUUUGACUCACCCCAGAGCCCCAAUUCUGUCUGCCCCCCACGGUGGAGGCAUGUUGCAGCUCAGUGGCCUGGGAGGGCCUGGGGGGGGGGCCAGGGUCAGGGCACAGAGCCGAGAGACAGAUGACCCAGGCGCAGGCGAGUGCCUGCCGGGGGCCUCAGCCAGCACAUCUGCAAAACCAGGAAUUUGACCGAGAGCUUCGCCAAGGCCCUUCCUCAGGCUGUGCCACUCAGGAUGUCUCCAGGCCUGCAGACCUCACCAGCAGGCCACUGCCGACGCUGAUGCUGCAGAUGGGGGCUGUGUCCCUGUGGUGGCUGAAGUGCUCUAGUGACUCCCCACAUGCGGGCAGCUUAAGUUGCCUGUGGUCCCUUGGCAGGAAUGUGUCUGAGCUGGACCUGGAGCCAAGCCACAGACUCUGGGACGGAGGGGACAACUCAGAAGCCCAAGCUGGCACAUCACAGUGUGCCCAAGGGCCCUUCCUAAGGAAACAGCAAGGACCCCUAGGCGAAGGUGGGGACAGGUGAGGGGCACCCAGGAGAGCAGGCCCGUUGACCCGCCUCGACAGGCCCACAGCCUGGGCUGGGCUCCAGGCCUCAGGGGAGACAGUCACAUGGGGGCGGAGGGUGUAGCCAUCCUGGGAAAGAGGGAAGACAGAAGGAGGAGACCCUUGGUAAGGGAAUGACAGGAGGGGGUCCCCAUCCCAAGUGGGAACAGGGGUACAUCUGUGAUGAAAAGCAGACCUCCGAUCUUAGGGCCAUGGGCCCACCCGCCAGGGCGGGCUCCUAUUACCAGCCGGACCCUGAUGCCCUUCCUCUGACAUCUCUGCCUCAGGCCUCUCCCUGCGCCGCCCCCACCAGCAACUCUUUCUCUCUCUCUCUCUUGCAUUCCUCUGGGAGCUGAUCAGGGCUUGAAUGACACCCCAGAUGACUCUUUGCUAUUAAUUCCCACACACAGAAUGGGCCCCUUGUUCUCCUCUCCCGGAGGAAUAGCCGUGGCCAAAGCCAUCCCAAGAGUUCCUGACUUAACCCUUCUCCUGGCUGCUCCUCCACACGUCCCCACACCCAGGGCCACAGGGCCAGCAGGAGGUGGCAUGCAGAGAGGGAGACUGGGAAAAAACAGAGACUCCUCCAGUCCAGAGCUCCUGGAAUGAAAUCGCCAGGAUGGGACAGCAGGACCACCCAACCUUCCCAGGGAUCCUGUCCCUGGCUUCUCGCCUGAGGCUCUCAGCCUGGCCCUGGCGGCCAGAAGGCCUCACCACCCAAGUACGGGAGGCCCAGGGCUGAUAGCCUCGCCACGGCCAGCCUGAUGCCUCUGACCCCAGGGAGGACCCUUCAGGGGACAACUGGCAG
RNAcentral lists this long non-coding RNA (3808 nucleotides) under Canis lupus familiaris (dog). RNAcentral's name for it is "lncRNA (ENSCAFG00845005248.1)". Lineage: Eukaryota; Metazoa; Chordata; Mammalia; Carnivora; Canidae. The record is from RNAcentral.